UAGAUAGAUGCUUAAUGGUUUAAGCUUUUAAUUGUUAAUUAGAGGAUUGUAGGAUCAAAGCCUUCCUGUCUAG
Molecule: transfer RNA, 73 nt
Filed under: Terranatos dolichopterus (saberfin killie)
Lineage: Eukaryota; Metazoa; Chordata; Actinopteri; Cyprinodontiformes; Rivulidae
Description: tRNA-Asn
Rfam family: tRNA
About the family: Transfer RNA (tRNA) molecules are approximately 80 nucleotides in length. Their secondary structure includes four short double-helical elements and three loops (D, anti-codon, and T loops). Further hydrogen bonds mediate the characteristic L-shaped molecular structure. tRNAs have two regions of fundamental functional importance: the anti-codon, which is responsible for specific mRNA codon recognition, and the 3' end, to which the tRNAs corresponding amino acid is attached (by aminoacyl-tRNA synthetases). tRNAs cope with the degeneracy of the genetic code in two manners: having more than one tRNA (with a specific anti-codon) for a particular amino acid; and 'wobble' base-pairing, i.e. permitting non-standard base-pairing at the 3rd anti-codon position.
Source: RNAcentral